GACGAACGCUGGCGGCGUGCUUAACACAUGCAAGUCGAACGGAAAGGCCCUGCUUUUGUGUGGUGCUCGAGUGGCGAACGGGUGAGUAACACGUGAGUAACCUGCCCUUGACUUUGGGAUAACUUCAGGAAACUGGGGCUAAUACCGGAUAGGAGCUCCUGCUGCAUGGUGGGGGUUGGAAAGUUUCGGCGGUUGGGGAUGGACUCGCGGCUUAUCAGCUUGUUGGUGGGGUAGUGGCUUACCAAGGCUUUGACGGGUAGCCGGCCUGAGAGGGUGACCGGCCACAUUGGGACUGAGAUACGGCCCAGACUCAUACGGGAGGCAGGAGUGGGGAAUAUUGCACAACGGGCGGAAGCCUGAUGCAGCAACGCCGCGUGCGGGAUGACGGCCUUCGGGUUGGAAACCGAUUUCGCCUGUGACGAAGCGUGAGUGACGGUAAUGGGUAAAGAAGCACCGGCUAACUACGU
RNAcentral lists this ribosomal RNA (467 nucleotides) under uncultured bacterium. RNAcentral's name for it is "partial 16S ribosomal RNA". It matches the Rfam family "Bacterial small subunit ribosomal RNA", at positions 28 to 506 of the family's 1533-position model. The record is from RNAcentral.